CCUACGGGUGGCAGCAGGGAGGAAUAUUGGUCAAUGGGCGCAAGCCUGAACCAGCCAAGUAGCGUGAAGGAUGACUGCCCUAUGGGUUGUAAACUUCGUUUAUAGGGGAAUAAAGUGCAGUAUGUAGACGGCUUUGCAUGUACCUUAUGAAUAAGGAUAGGCUAACUCCGUGCCAGCAGCCGCGGUAAUACGGAGGAUCCGAGCGUUAUCCGGAGUUAUUGGGUUGAAAGGGAGCGUAGGCGGGUUGUUAAGUCCGUUGUGAAAGUUUGCGGCUCAACCGUAAAAUUGCCGUUGAUACUGGCAUCCUUGCUUACAGUCGCGGUCGGCGGCAUUCCUGGUGUCGCCGUUCCAUUCUUCGCUCUCAC
This 365-nucleotide ribosomal RNA is filed under the name uncultured bacterium. Its description in RNAcentral is "partial 16S ribosomal RNA". It matches the Rfam family "Bacterial small subunit ribosomal RNA", at positions 338 to 700 of the family's 1533-position model. The record is from RNAcentral.